RNAcentral lists this ribosomal RNA (327 nucleotides) under uncultured Cortinarius. RNAcentral's name for it is "eukaryotic LSU rRNA". The stretch from base 1 to 71 matches the Rfam family "5.8S ribosomal RNA", at positions 84 to 154 of the family's 154-position model. Lineage: Eukaryota; Fungi; Basidiomycota; Agaricomycetes; Agaricales; Cortinariaceae. The record is from RNAcentral.
GUGAGUCAUCGAAUCUUUGAACGCACCUUGCGCUCCUUGGUAUUCCGAGGAGCAUGCCUGUUUGAGUGUCAUUAAUAUAUAUAUCAACCCCCUCUUGUUGAGCGGUUUGGAUGUGGAGGUUUUUGCUGGCCGCUUAAAAAAGGGUUCAGCUCCUCUGAAAUACAUUAGCGGGACAAGCCUGUCCAUUCAUUGGUGUGAUAACUAUCUACGCUGUUGAAUGUGAGGCAGUUCAGCUUUCCAACAGUCCUUUGGACAACCUUAUCAUUUUAUGUGACCUCAAAUCAGGUAGGACUACCCGCUGAACUUAAGCAUAUCAAUAAGCGGAGG